GUGAACGCUGGCGGUAGGCCUAACACAUGCAAGUCGAACGGCAGCACAGUAAGAGCUUGCUCUUACGGGUGGCGAGUGGCGGACGGGUGAGGAAUACAUCGGAAUCUACUUUUUCGUGGGGGAUAACGUAGGGAAACUUACGCUAAUACCGCAUACGUCCUACGGGUGAAAGCAGGGGAUCUUCGGACCUUGCGCGAUUGAAUGAGCCGAUGUCGGAUUAGCUAGUUGGCGGGGUAAAGGCCCACCAAGGCGACGAUCCGUAGCUGGUCUGAGAGGAUGAUCAGCCACACUGGAACUGAGACACGGUCCAGACUCCUACGGGAGGCAGCAGUGGGGAAUAUUGGACAAUGGGCGCAAGCCUGAUCCAGCCAUACCGCGUGGGUGAAGAAGGCCUUCGGGUUGUAAAGCCCUUUUGUUGGGAAAGAAAAGAAGCAGGUUAAUACCCCGCUGUUCUGACGGUACCCAAAGAAUAAGCACCGGCUAACUUCGUG
This 491-nucleotide ribosomal RNA is filed under the name uncultured bacterium. RNAcentral's name for it is "partial 16S ribosomal RNA". It matches the Rfam family "Bacterial small subunit ribosomal RNA", at positions 29 to 507 of the family's 1533-position model. The record is from RNAcentral.